GCUAAAAAUGUGGUAUUAACAAUGUGUCACUUAUGUGAAUUGCGCAUUAGUUGAUGCUUAUCAAAACAAUAGGAAAUGUUACUGACCCCCCCCCCCCAAAAUGGCGAGUAGACAUUCUGUUUUGGCACCCACAACCCAGGUCCCAGAAACGAUUUGGCUCCCAGCUUUUCUAUCCCAGUUUCUAACAUUGAUAGGGAUGUAUCCAAUGUUAGAACAGAUCCACUGAAAUUAAUUGGCAUGACUCACAUAGGUCAACUAAUUUCAGUGGGUCCACUCAGACCUUGUGGGGGGCUGGACUAUAUAUUUUUUUUUGGGGGGGGGGGAAUGAACCAAUUCCUAUGCCGCACAAAUAACCCAGAGAUGCAUUUUAAAUAAAAGCACAAAUUCUGCUCAUGUAAAAACACACUGAUUCCUGGACCGUCCACGGGCCGGAUUUAGAAGGCGAUUGGGCCGGAUCCGGCCCCUAGUUUGCCUACCCAUGGUCCUAAGCUUUUAUUUUUAAGGUCCUCUCCCCACCUGCUUUAUGUGUUACUGGGGUGAACUUGUUUAUUAUUUUUCUCUGAAUGUACUGAUUAUUAACUUACAGUCAUACCUCGGUUUAAGUACGCCUUGGUUUGAUUAUUUUCAGUUUAAGUACUCAAACGGCCCGUCUGGAACGGAUUAAUCCACUUUCCAUUACUUUCAAUGGGAAAGUACAGACUUCCAGAACCAAUUGUGUUUGUAAACAGAGGUACCACUGUAUAAUAAAAAUUGUGUGUGUGUGUGUGUAGAAUCUGCCCUGUUUUAAGACACUGGAUACUUCUGUUUAGAUUAAAGAUAAUCCAAUUUGUUUUUCCCCUCGGGGCAUUGCCGGAGAGGAAUGGAUUUAAAAGUGGGCAGCUGGGUAUCGAGUUUCCUUAAAAGACUUGGAGCUGGCCUGGUGGAUCUGGCAGCUGACUCCAGACUUCAGUGUGACACAGCAGCUUCGUCUUUAUCAGCAAAGAGAACAAAAACAUCCCUUGUUGUCCCCUCAAACUGAGGUAUAGAACAAGAGGUUGGCUCAAGUUUUCCUCGGUUGGGGACAUGGACUCUUUUCCCUGCUGCACCUCUUAUGGUUGGCUCAAGUGGAUCUAAGCAACUGGAAAGAAGCAAGUUCUUCCUUCAACAGGAGGACGGCAAAAGAAAUGGUGGCAGAGAACUGAAGUAAACUGACAUUAUAUUAACUGUCCCAGAUUCUUUUAUAGUGAGAAAUUCACGGGAGAACUGGUACCAUUCCUUAGAUAAUGGAAUACAACCAAUUUAUUUGAAAAUGUAAGUCAAAAUUUGCUCAAUGUGGUAUAUAAUGCUGAUUAUGUUAAACAGAUUAUAGGAGAUAAUUCUGAUGAUUGCUAGUUCUUUGAAUCCCAUUUGAUGGCUACUCUUUUUUAAAAAUAAAUUAUAAGAAUAAUUGAACGGCCCUUUGCCAGACAUCAUAUCUGUUCCCUUCAUAUGUUUUGCCAUUUCUUUGUUAGUUUUUUUAAAAUAGACAUUAUAAAACUGCACAGUUCCCCUUUCCCAAAUCACCAUGGUUGAAUUUUCCAAAACUGGUUUUUAGUAUCUCUUCAGUGAGACUAACAUCCUAUUUUAGAUUUCACUUGUGACACCACUGCCUCGCCAGGUCUACCACCAAAUUCCA
Zootoca vivipara (common lizard) is the source of this 1654-nucleotide long non-coding RNA. RefSeq lists it as uncharacterized. The record is from RefSeq and is a predicted model, not a curated record. Lineage: Eukaryota; Metazoa; Chordata; Lepidosauria; Squamata; Lacertidae.